UUUCAUAAUAUGAUUUUAACACCGCAAUUGAAGAAAUUUACUAUGACAUUAUGAAAAUUGUAUUAGGAAGGAUUAAUUAAUUUGUGUAUUAAUAAGGAGUAAAAGAAGUACUCAAAUCCUUACAAUACAACAAAAUCUCUUAAAUACUAAGCAAACAUUUUAAGGGAUUGACACACUAAUCGGAAUACAAAUAGGGACAAUGUCUACCCGAACGGCCAAUAAACCAAAACCAAGAAAUUAGCUUAAUUUGAUCCACCAACUGACCAUAAUCGGCUAUAGCACCCCUAAAGACAAUGUUAAUACGCAACCUUCAAGCACACCAAGUUGUUGCAAACCAAAUCAAACUUAGGACCUACUUGUUUUCUUCAGCAGAAACGGUAAUUUUUACUGCUCUAAGUUUAGCCUUAAAUUUCAGACGGUACUGGCACAAGGUCAUUUUUUAAUUUACAGAACUUAGAUCAAAUAAGUACUUUAAAAGAACUAAAAAGAGAUAAAGAAGAAUUAGUACGCUCAAGGAUAAACUUGUACAUGUGAAUAUGUGAUUAACUCAAAGAUUAA
RNAcentral lists this long non-coding RNA (558 nucleotides) under Trifolium pratense (red clover). Its description in RNAcentral is "long non-coding RNA (TPRA_LNC001588)". Lineage: Eukaryota; Viridiplantae; Streptophyta; Magnoliopsida; Fabales; Fabaceae. The record is from RNAcentral.